UAGAAAUACCAGUUCCCAUUCAAUCACCGAAGUUAAGCAAUGUCAAGCCUGGUCACUAUCUAGAUGGGCGAUCACUUAGGAAUACCAGGUGCUGUAAG
Molecule: non-coding RNA, 98 nt
Organism: Acanthosepion pharaonis
Lineage: Eukaryota; Metazoa; Mollusca; Cephalopoda; Sepiida; Sepiidae
Source: the annotation of a GenBank genome assembly